GAUGAACGCUGGCUACAGGCUUAACACAUGCAAGUCGUGGGGAAACGGCAUUAUGUGCUUGCACAUUCUGGACGUCGACCGGCGCACGGGUGAGUAUCGCGUAUCCAACCUGCCCCUUACUUGGGGAUACCCCGUUGAAAGACGGCCUAAUACCCGAUGUGUUUCAUUGACGGCAUCCGAUAUGAAACAAAGGUUUUUCCGGUAAGGGAUGGGGAUGCGUCUGAUUAGCUUGUUGGCGGGGCAACGGCCCACCAAGGCAACGAUCAGUAGGGGUUCUGAGAGGAAGGUCCCCCACAUUGGAACUGAGACACGGCCCAAACUCCUACGGGAGGCAGCAGUGAGGAAUAUUGGUCAAUGGACGCAAGUCUGAACCAGCCAAGUAGCGUGCAGGAUGACGGCCCUAUGGGUUGUAAACUGCUUUUAUGUGGGAAUAAAUUGGCGCACGUGUGCGCCAUUGCAUGUA
This 463-nucleotide ribosomal RNA is filed under the name Prevotella nigrescens. Its description in RNAcentral is "bacterial SSU rRNA". It matches the Rfam family "Bacterial small subunit ribosomal RNA", at positions 28 to 477 of the family's 1533-position model. The record is from RNAcentral. Lineage: Bacteria; Pseudomonadati; Bacteroidota; Bacteroidia; Bacteroidales; Prevotellaceae.